GUCCUGGGGAGCAAUGCAUGGCAGAGAUCAUCGUAGAACCGGAAACAUGGGAAUCCCAGGAACUAUGAAUCAGAUAUCUCCAUUGAAGAAACCGUUUUCUGGUAAUGUCAUAGCACCACCGAAAUUUACUCGCUCAACUCCAUCACUGACUCCAAAAUCUUGGAUUGAAGAUAAUGUGUUCAGAACAGACAACAAUAGUAAUACACUCUUACCCUUACAGGAUCGAAGUAGAAUGUAUGACAGUUUGAAUAUGCACUCUUUGGAAAAUUCCCUUAUCGAUAUUAUGAGAGCAGAGCAUGAUCCUCUUAAGGGUAGGUGACUUUUUAAAAAAAUAUGUUUAUAUUAUACACCAAUUUGCUUAUCUUAUUAGUUUUUAUAUGAAAGUGAACCCUAAGUAGCACCUAUAUCCAAUAGAAAACUCUGUUAUACAUUUAUUAAUAAGAAUCUUUGUUUUUAUGAAAUGCC
RNAcentral lists this small RNA (465 nucleotides) under Pongo abelii (Sumatran orangutan). Its description in RNAcentral is "retained intron". Lineage: Eukaryota; Metazoa; Chordata; Mammalia; Primates; Hominidae. The record is from RNAcentral.